RNAcentral lists this long non-coding RNA (294 nucleotides) under Cricetulus griseus (Chinese hamster). RNAcentral's name for it is "lncRNA (ENSCGRG00015039219.1)". Lineage: Eukaryota; Metazoa; Chordata; Mammalia; Rodentia; Cricetidae. The record is from RNAcentral.
CCACCUUGGUAUAGCAGAGGAGGAAACGGAAGCUCAGACAGCCCGCUGGGCCGCUCCGAGCUCCGGGCUGGCUGCCGCGCGCUCCCGGUCUGCUGUUCCGCGGAGGGCACAACAAAGGGCCCCCCGGGCAGCCCGCUCAGAGACCGACUACUGAAACCCUCGGGCCAGGUUCUCGUUUUUGCUUUGUUUGGUUUUGGUUUUCUGGCGUCCUUAAACUCUGAGAUUUCUCCCGAUUCCGGUUCGAGACCUCCCGGGUUAAGUAAGUUGUCCCUCGGUUCCUAAUUUAAAAAGGAG